CUUCGUCCCACAGCAGGGGAUGGGAAUGUUUGGAGGGACAGCGCCAGUUGGGGGACCGUACCCAGGGAUGGGACCGCCGCCAUCGACAUCAGCCUACCCAGGAUUCUAUCCAGAUGCGGGCGUCGGACCUUCUUCCUCAGCACAACCUGGGUUCGUCUCAGACACGUUCGUUCCAGAUAGCGGUG
Molecule: long non-coding RNA, 185 nt
Organism: Panicum virgatum (switchgrass)
Lineage: Eukaryota; Viridiplantae; Streptophyta; Magnoliopsida; Poales; Poaceae
Exons: 3
Source: RefSeq, a predicted model, not a curated record